CCUACGGGAGGCAGCAGUGGGGAAUAUUGCACAAUGGGGGAAACCCUGAUGCAGCAACGCCGCGUGAGGGAUGACGGCCUCCGGGUGUUAAAGUUCGUUCGUCAGGGACGAAAAUGACGGUACCCGAGGAGGAAGCAACGGCUAACUACGUGCCAGCAGCCGCGGUAAUACGGAGGGGGCGAGCGUUGUCCGGAUUUACUGGGCGUAAGGGGUUCGUAGGCGGCACUUAAAGUCGGGUGUUAAAUGCUCAGGCUCAACUUGAGUACUGCAUUUGAUACUGGAGGGCUAGAAUGCGGUAGAGGAGAAGGGAAUUCCUGGUGUAGCGGUGAAAUGCGUAGAGAUUAGGAAGAACACCGGUGGCGAAGGCGAUUCACUGGGCCGUAACUGACGCUGAGGAUCGAAAGCGUGGGUAGCAAACAGGAUUAGAUACCCGGGUAGUC
RNAcentral lists this ribosomal RNA (440 nucleotides) under uncultured bacterium. RNAcentral's name for it is "partial 16S ribosomal RNA". It matches the Rfam family "Bacterial small subunit ribosomal RNA", at positions 338 to 795 of the family's 1533-position model. The record is from RNAcentral.